This 1039-nucleotide long non-coding RNA is filed under the name Serinus canaria (Common canary). RNAcentral's name for it is "lncRNA (ENSSCAG00000001956.1)". The record is from RNAcentral. Lineage: Eukaryota; Metazoa; Chordata; Aves; Passeriformes; Fringillidae.
GCGCCGCCGACAGCGGCGCGAUCUCGGGGUUCAUGGGCGGCGCGGCGUUGGCCGGAGGGGCGGCCUGGGCGCCGGCCGGAGCCACCAAAUCCUGCUGGGUGACCGGGCGGGGCUGCAGGGCCUGGCUGCUGAGCGUGGUGUGCGUCUGGGCGAUGCUGUGGUUGUAGUUGGUCACCGUGCCCACCGUGGGCGCCAGCGUCUGCUCGGUGGCCGUGGCCGUGGAGCUGAGCGUCAUCACCUUGGCCUGGUUGCGGAACUGAGCGUUCUGCUCCAGCAGCACCUCGUUGGUGGCCAGCAGGUUGUUCACCUGCUUCUUGAGGUCCUCCACGCGCUUCCGCAGCAGCACGUUCUCCUCCUCCAGCAGCCGGUACUCCACGGCCCGCGGGCUGGCGAAGCCGUACUCGUAGCUCUCGUAGAGCCCCUCGGCCCGCCGCCGUUUCAGCACCGGCUCGUCGGGCUCGUAGAGGCCGUCGUAGGGCUCGUAACGCCGGCCCUGCUCGCGGCCCCGCGCCUCGUACUCGUAGUCCCGCUGCAGGUGCUGGAAUUUACACUUGGCGCCGCGCUGGCAGUCCCCUUUGAGGAAAUCCCUGCAGAUGGGCACCUCCUCCUUGCUGUUGGGCAAAUCCGCCGGCGACAGCCCCAAGCCGGCGGCCACCUUCUGCCGCAGGCGCGGCGGCAGCUCGCCCGUCUUCUUGUAGCAGUCCUCGUCCUCCUUGGUGCCGUGGAUGAAGCGGCAGUUGAGGCGCACGCACUCCUUGUUCUGGAAGUCGUGGCAGAAGAUGAACUCGUUCUUGCGCACGCCCAGGUUGGUGACCUCGGAGAUGUCGGGGUGCCGGAAGCGGCAGCGCUUGCCGCGCUUGCAGACGUUGCGCAGGAAGUCGCGGCAGAUGUCGUCGUCGGUGCCCGCCGAGGCCUCGUCGCCGCUCCGCCGCCGCCGCCGCCGCCGCCGCCCGUGGGGCGAGUAACCAUCGCGGUCCGGCAUGGUCCCGGGAGGGGAGGCGGCUGGGGAGAGGGAGGGAGGGGUGAGGGAGGGACUGGG